UGGGGAAUAUUGCACAAUGGGCGCAAGCCUGAUGCAGCCAUGCCGCGUGUAUGAAGAAGGCCUUCGGGUUGUAAAGUACUUUCAGUCGGGAGGAAGGUGGUAAGGUUAAUAACCUUAUCAAUUGACGUUACCGACAGAAGAAGCACCGGCUAACUCCGUGCCAGCAGCCGCGGUAAUACGGAGGGUGCAAGCGUUAAUCGGAAUUACUGGGCGUAAAGCGCACGCAGGCGGUUGAUUGAGUCAGAUGUGAAAUCCCCGGGCUUAACCCGGGAAUUGCAUCUGAUACUGGUCAGCUAGAGUCUUGUAGAGGGGGGUAGAAUUCCAUGUGUAGCGGUGAAAUGCGUAGAGAAUUGGAGGAAUACCGGUGGCGAAGGCGGCCCCCUGGACAAAGACUGACGCUCAGGUGCGAAAGCGUGGGGAGCAAACAGG
Molecule: ribosomal RNA, 429 nt
Filed under: Chloroflexota bacterium
Lineage: Bacteria; Bacillati; Chloroflexota
Description: Chloroflexi bacterium partial 16S ribosomal RNA
Rfam family: Bacterial small subunit ribosomal RNA
Source: RNAcentral